Molecule: ribosomal RNA, 446 nt
Filed under: uncultured bacterium
Lineage: Bacteria
Description: bacterial SSU rRNA
Rfam family: Bacterial small subunit ribosomal RNA
Source: RNAcentral
CCCCAGACUCCUACGGGAGGCAGCAGUGGGGAAUACUGCACAAUGGGGGAAACCCUGAUGCAGCGACGCCGCGUGAGUGAAGAAGUAUCUCGGUACGUAAAGCUCUAUCAGCAGGGAAGAAAAUGACGGUACCUGAGUAAGAAGCCCCGGCUAACUACGUGCCAGCAGCCGCGGUAAUACGUAGGGGGCAAGCGUUAUCCGGAUUUACUGGGUGUAAAGGGAGCGUAGACGGCAUGGCAAGUCAGAUGUGAAAGCCCGGGGCCCAACCCCGGGACUGCUCUUGGAACUGCGCGGCUGGAGUGCAGGAGGGGCAGGCGGAAUUCCUGGUGUAGCGGUGAAAUGCGUAGAUAUCAGGAGGAACACCGGUGGCGAAGGCGGCCUGCUGGACUGCGACUGACGUUGAGGCCCGAAAGCGUGGGGAGCAAACAGGAUUAGAUACCCCUGUA